Molecule: ribosomal RNA, 530 nt
Filed under: uncultured bacterium
Lineage: Bacteria
Description: bacterial SSU rRNA
Rfam family: Bacterial small subunit ribosomal RNA
Source: RNAcentral
UGGGCGAAAGCCUGAUGCAGCAACGCCGCGUGCGCGAUGAAGGUCUUCGGAUCGUAAAGCGCUUUUAAGAGAGAUGAGAAAGGACAGUAUCUCUGGAAUAAGGAUCGGCUAACUACGUGCCAGCAGCCGCGGUAAAACGUAGGAUCCGAGCGUUAUCCGAAUUUACUGGGCGUAAAGCGCGUGCAGGCGGUUUGGUAAGUCGGAUGUGAAAGCUCCUGGCUCAACUGGGAGAGGCCGUUCGAAACUACCAGACUAGAGGACGGUAGAGGGAGGUGGAAUUCCUGGUGUAGUAGUGAAAUGCGUAGAUAUCAGGAGGAACACCUGUGGCGAAAGCGGCCUCCUGGACCGUUCCUGACGCUCAGACGCGAAAGCUAGGGGAGCGAACGGGAUUAGAGACCCCGGUAGUCCUAGCUGUAAACCAUGUAGACUUGGCGUCGGUGGGGUAAAAGCCAUCGGUGCCGAAGCUAACGCGUUAAGUCUACCGCCUGAGGACUACGGCCGCAAGGUUAAAACUCAAAAAAAUUGACGGA